Sinocyclocheilus grahami is the source of this 871-nucleotide long non-coding RNA. RefSeq lists it as uncharacterized. The transcript is spliced from 3 exons. The record is from RefSeq and is a predicted model, not a curated record. NCBI's taxonomy places the organism in Eukaryota, Metazoa, Chordata, Actinopteri, Cypriniformes, Cyprinidae.
GUGUGUAUGUGUGUGUUGGCAGUGGCAGAGGCUGAUCUAAUAUGGGCUAUCUAACACCUGUUUCUCCUCCAGUCACAGAGCUGUGUGUGUGUCGGCCGCUGCGCUGUCUGGACUCCACGCGGGACAGCUCAGCAACACCCUCUGCCUGCCAUUACCCGCUCGUGACGCCGCUGCUCCGCCACCUGCUGCUCUUCAACAGGGUGUGGAUGCCGCAGGUGAGGAGUGAGUCGUAUCUGCUGGUGUGUGCCGAGGGGACUGAACUGCAGCUGUGGGAGCGACACUGCAGCGCUGAUCUGUCCUGAAGAACAGACACUAGAUAGUCUACAGCAGCAUGGACUGUGAUCUGUUCUUCUCUAUUCUUCAGUUCCAGCCUAUAACACAUUUUCAGCGUCACAGCCACAUGAUUCAGUGAAUGGGGCAUUUAAAUCUGCACCAUAUUCUGGUUGCGCUCAUAUUCUGAAUAUGAUGUUUAUAUGCUUAAAUACGGUAGUUUUAGGUCUGCUGAUCUACACAUGCACAUUUAAUUUUUUGCAAUUGUCUAAAAGAUUUCCUAAGAGAGUCUUAGGAAGUAUGUGCAUCAGAAAUGAGUUUCCAAUUCUUAAUACCUACAGCUAAUGCAUGUAAUCGCUCAUAAUUCUUCGUGGUCUGAGCAUGUGAAUCUCCUUUCAGUGGAUUUUCUGAAUAAGGUGUUUACAUGCAAACACGUUUCUCAUUAAAACAGGUUUAUUCAAGGAGUGGGAAACAGAUUUUUGAGAAUUAAAAUAUUGUCUUAAACUGAAUCAGGCAAUCAGAGUGUGGUGUUUAAUAUGUGACUCCAUACUAAUCUGAAUAUUGACAAAAUCUGAUUAUUAACGGAAUAUUCACGUGCAUG